Molecule: long non-coding RNA, 291 nt
Filed under: Anas platyrhynchos platyrhynchos (common mallard)
Lineage: Eukaryota; Metazoa; Chordata; Aves; Anseriformes; Anatidae
Description: lncRNA (ENSAPLG00000024081.1)
Source: RNAcentral
UGGGGAGUUAAUUGCUUCCUAUACACACCCCUCCAUGCACAGCAUAAAAGGGGUGUGUUGGGAGGGCUCUGGUUUGGCAAGGAGGAUGAGAUAGGAAGGAAGCUGAGUCUAGUAUUUGAGAUCAGGUCUGAACAAGGUCCUGCUCUCUGGUGCUUUCCUGAUUUGAUGGGAAUAUCCUCAGAAGCUCUCCCACAGCCAAUGGGACCCAGGCAGGAGGUGGACCUUGAUAUCAUCAGAUCAUUCAGCUGAAGCAGUGUUUAUAAAAAGCAGAAGUAUGAAUUUGUACAUUGG